This 468-nucleotide ribosomal RNA is filed under the name uncultured bacterium. RNAcentral's name for it is "partial 16S ribosomal RNA". It matches the Rfam family "Bacterial small subunit ribosomal RNA", at positions 28 to 507 of the family's 1533-position model. The record is from RNAcentral.
GACGAACGCUGGCGGCGUGCUUAACACAUGCAAGUCGAACGGAAAGGCCCUGCUUUUGUGGGGUGCUCGAGUGGCGAACGGGUGAGUAACACGUGAGUAACCUGCCCUUGACUUUGGGAUAACUUCAGGAAACUGGGGCUAAUACCGGAUAGGAGCUCCUGCUGCAUGGUGGGGGUUGGAAAGUUUCGGCGGUUGGGGAUGGACUCGCGGCUUAUCAGCUUGUUGGUGGGGUAGUGGCUUACCAAGGCUUUGACGGGUAGCCGGCCUGAGAGGGUGACCGGCCACAUUGGGACUGGGAUACGGCCCCGACUCCUAAGGGAGGGAGGAGUGGGGAAUAUUGCACAAUGGGCGGAAGCCUGAUGCAGCAACGCCGCGUGCGGGAUGACGGCCUUCGGGUUGUAAACCGCCUUCGCCUGUGACGAAGCGUGAGUGACGGUAAUGGGUAAAGAAGCACCGGCUAACUACGUG